Molecule: long non-coding RNA, 392 nt
Organism: Amphibalanus amphitrite
Lineage: Eukaryota; Metazoa; Arthropoda; Thecostraca; Balanomorpha; Balanidae
Exons: 2
Source: RefSeq, a predicted model, not a curated record
GUUGAGACCAAAAUGGGGUCCCUGCAGCUUACACUUAGGGGAGAGAGGGGCGGACGCGCUGGCAGUGGAGACUCUGGCGCCAUGGGUCGGUCGAGGCUGCCGCAGCAGUAGCAGCAGCAGCAGCAGCAGCACCGGGGGCCGGCAGGGCGGCCCAGCGUGGACGGCCAUUCCUCCGCUACGCUCUGGGCUCGCCGUAGCUCCGAUCACCAACAAGUGACCGUUUCGCUACGGCCUGGCGCGUUCCACCGAUCAAACAUUCACAGUGUGAAAUAUAAAAAGCGGUCCGUCAGGCCCUGUAAUGAUAAUGCAGCUAAAGAACCUGAACGACUCUGAACGAACCGAAUGACGACUUACUUUCUGGCACCGAACUUCUGAAUAAACAAUGGAAAAAG